This 662-nucleotide ribosomal RNA is filed under the name uncultured bacterium. RNAcentral's name for it is "bacterial SSU rRNA". It matches the Rfam family "Bacterial small subunit ribosomal RNA", at positions 736 to 1398 of the family's 1533-position model. The record is from RNAcentral.
GUAACUGACGCUGAGGGACGAAAGCUAGGGGAGCGAAAGGGAUUAGAUACCCCUGUAGUCCUAGCUGUAAACGAUGGAUACUAGGUGUUGGACGUAUCGACCCGUUCAGUACCGCAGCCAACGCGAUAAGUAUCCCGCCUGGGGAGUACGCACGCAAGUGUGAAACUCAAAGGAAUUGACGGGGGCCCGCACAAGCGGUGGAGUAUGUGGUUUAAUUCGAUGCAACGCGAAGAACCUUACCAGGGCUUGACAUCCCCCGAAUCCUUGUGAAAGCGAGGAGUGCCUUCGGGAGCGGGGAGACAGGUGGUGCAUGGCUGCCGUCAGCUCGUGUCGUGAGAUGUUGGGUUAAGUCCCGCAACGAGCGCAACCCACGUCCUUAGUUGCCAUCAUUCAGUUGGGCACUCUGGGGAGACUGCCGGGGACAACUCGGAGGAAGGUGUGGAUGACGUCAAGUCAUCAUGCCCCUUACGUUCUGGGCUACACACGUACUACAAUGCCUCGGACAAAGGGCAGCCAACUAGCGAUAGUGAGCUAAUCCCAUAAACCGAGGCACAGUUCAGAUUGCAGGCUGCAACUCGCCUGCAUGAAGGAGGAAUCGCUAGUAAUCGCCGGUCAGCAUACGGCGGUGAAUACGUUCCCGGGCCUUGCACACACCGCCCGUC